GGGGUCGUAGUAUAGCCUGGUUAGUACACGAGCUUUGGGAGUUCGUAACGCCAGUUCGAAUCUGGCCGACCCCA
RNAcentral lists this transfer RNA (74 nucleotides) under Candidatus Pacearchaeota archaeon. Its description in RNAcentral is "tRNA-Pro". It matches the Rfam family "tRNA". From Rfam's summary of the family: Transfer RNA (tRNA) molecules are approximately 80 nucleotides in length. Their secondary structure includes four short double-helical elements and three loops (D, anti-codon, and T loops). The record is from RNAcentral. Lineage: Archaea; Nanobdellati.